CGUAAGGAAGACACCACCCCUAAAAUGUAUGGCUUACUGCAGCAUAAUCUUGUCCCAUCACAGCCUCUGUGAAUUCAGGUUCUAAUGCUGGCCUUCAAAAACUCUCUCCUCACACACUGUGCCUCUCUUGCUCAUGUCUUGGUCCUUUCUUUGACUGAGAAGAACAAUUUAAACUAAUUGAAAGUAUGCCAAAUCAUCCAUUUCUAAAGAAACAACCAUCUUUAAUUCAUUGUGAACUCUCUUCCUUAGCCUCCUCCACAUUAUUUAUAAGGAAUUUUCCUCUUUAAUUGAGUGGAUCUUCGAGUGAAAGGAGACUCUGGGCUGAUGGUACCAGAAAAAGGUCUACUCAAGGUAAGAGAAUCUGCACCUAUUUGAAGAUAAAUAUUGGCAUAUGCUGUGUCAGUUUGACUGUAGCUUGCUUCUGGGUGCUCUACAGGAGAGAGACAGAUCUCAAAGAAAGCUUCUUCUCCUCAGAACAGGAGGGACAGCACCCUGCCUCUGGAGCCUCCUAACACAGUGCCAGGCAAAGGGGUGCAAGGAGCAGUGGAGAGACGUUUCUCCUCUCUGCUUCACCAUCUCACCAACUCAGGAGCAGUGUCCUGCCAUCGUGGGUCACCCAUCCCCCUGAUGGGGCAGAUGGGGAGGGUGCAGCGGGUGCCCCUGGAGCCCGUGGUCAGGUGGGCUGCCGAGCGGAUGUGAGAUGCAAACAGCCUCACAACUGUGCUUUCGUAAAUAAGCCAUCACAUGGGACUCGUGCGUGUCUGUUGGAGCAAUUUGAAAACCAGGAAAAUCAUGUGGCAACAGAAGUCUGCAGGCUCCCAGCCCUCCCCCACUCCCUAACCUUCUUGCUCCCUUUCCUUUCUCUCUUUCUCUGUCUUACUAAGAUGGUAACCUCAAAAGCUGGAGUUGGAUUCUGCUCCCACUAAGCUCAUCCAGGGCUUUGGGCUAUUUGUGUUGGCACACGGUGUUGGCAUUCAACCUACCUGUGCCACUCAGACCACCUGUGCUGUGUGAUGUGCCCUACAAGCCUGCCAGGGAAAUUUGCAAAUUCAGUCUCCUAAAGGGAUUGAAGGACAUUUUCCCAGAGGGGAUGUUAAAUAUGAUUAAACCCAUUGCUCAAUGGGAUUUUCACUAUUGCAGGCAAGUCUGGCAGAAGUUGUCUUUUUCUUGGCAGUAUGGUUUUAAUACCUGAUGGGCACUUAAUGGAGUUACUUGUAAGGUCAGAAAAGAGAGUUCUGGAGUUUGCAAACUAAAAAAAACUUGAAGUUCUUCACUGCUGCCUCAUACAACUCAUUCACAGUAGCACAGCAAAGCAGGAGUUUCAGAACAUUGAGACAUCAGCUAAGAGCAGGUGGUGUUCUGUGAACAAAAAAUGCUACUACAUUGUCAAUUACUGUACAUUGUCAAUUACUGCAGGUCUUUGAGCCUGGCUCCACUUACGGCCUCCCAUUGUAACUGAGGUCUUAGGUGGAUAUGCCAACCAGCCACGCUGAAUGCAAGGAACUCAGAGCCAGGAAGGAACUGAGGGAUUUAUUGAGCUGUGCCAGAGGUUUCAUGAAGAUGCUUUACUUAACACUGGGUAUGGAAGUAACUGCUGGAUACAGAGCAGGAUCUGACUGAGGGAAGCCAAAAUCCAGCUUGAGAAUUUUCUGUAGUGGAGAAACUCAUCGAACUUUUCUUGAAGAGGUGUGAUGAGCAGAGGAGGAGGUGGGGAGAUGAACCACUUUUUAAAUGAAGUGCUGGGAACCUGCUGGCAGCUAUAAUCCUGUCAUCACUACCUUACACAUUUCUUUAUGGCCAAUUCACUCUCUCAUUCUAUGUUUACAUGGGAGAAGGGUGGAGAAAAACGUUAACUUUAAUCAAGUCAGCAAUACUUCUUGGCUUUGACACACUCCACUCAGGUGAAAGAGGUUCUGCUGCACGCACUGGCAUAUAUCCCUGUGGAGAGGGGAUCUGUCCUGUUCCCUCCUCUCAGACCUUCAUAUCCCUGCCACUCCUCAUAUGUCCCUCUAGAAACACUCUAAUCUGCCACCACACCAACUUCUGUGACCAUGUUCCAUGAACUUAACCUUAGUUUUGAAGGCCACAAAGCUACAGUGGUGCCAGUGCUGGGCUUCAUGCCUGACCUUCAGGGAGAGGGUGACACAGACUGAAGGCAGGCUGCUGUGAGUUCUGAGAUACUCAGGGAAACCGGGAAUCCAAGCACGCUCCACCACUUUGUGGAGAACCUGAGACCUCCCACUUAUGGCAAGGACGUGGCAUCAUUGGGUGGGAAUGACUGGUACCAGGGAAGCAUUUAUUGGUAAAUAAUUUGCUAAGAAAUGGGACUUCAAGGGAAUGAAGUUGCAAAUUCAGACUUUUGACUGGAAAGCGAGUGCGGGAGACAGAUUUUUAAAAUAUCAAAACAUUUUAUUUCAAGGCAAUCUUCCUGAAUUAUUCUUUUCUAAAUGCCAAAAUGCUGUGAAUGGACAUUUUCAAAGUGAAUUUCUGACAUUUUGUUUCAAGCCAGCAUUUUGCAUUUAAAACUUGA
This is a long non-coding RNA of Ficedula albicollis (Collared flycatcher), 2530 nucleotides long. RefSeq lists it as uncharacterized. The transcript has 3 exons. The record is from RefSeq and is a predicted model, not a curated record. Lineage: Eukaryota; Metazoa; Chordata; Aves; Passeriformes; Muscicapidae.